This 465-nucleotide ribosomal RNA is filed under the name Vreelandella stevensii. Its description in RNAcentral is "partial 16S ribosomal RNA". It matches the Rfam family "Bacterial small subunit ribosomal RNA", at positions 338 to 795 of the family's 1533-position model. Lineage: Bacteria; Pseudomonadati; Pseudomonadota; Gammaproteobacteria; Oceanospirillales; Halomonadaceae. The record is from RNAcentral.
CCUACGGGCGGCAGCAGUGGGGAAUAUUGGACAAUGGGGGGAACCCUGAUCCAGCCAUGCCGCGUGUGUGAAGAAGGCCCUCGGGUUGUAAAGCACUUUCAGUGAGGAAGAACGCCUGGUGGUUAAUACCCAUCAGGAAAGACAUCACUCACAGAAGAAGCACCGGCUAACUCCGUGCCAGCAGCCGCGGUAAUACGGAGGGUGCGAGCGUUAAUCGGAAUUACUGGGCGUAAAGCGCGCGUAGGUGGCUUGAUAAGCCGGUUGUGAAAGCCCCGGGCUCAACCUGGGAACGGCAUCCGGAACUGUCAAGCUAGAGUGCAGGAGAGGAAGGUAGAAUUCCCGGUGUAGCGGUGAAAUGCGUAGAGAUCGUGAGGAAUACCAGUGGCGAAGGCGGCCUUCUGGACUGACACUGACACUGAGGUGCGAAAGCGUGGGUAGCAAACAGGAUUAGAUACCCCAGUAGUC